This 408-nucleotide ribosomal RNA is filed under the name uncultured bacterium. RNAcentral describes it as "partial 16S ribosomal RNA". It matches the Rfam family "Bacterial small subunit ribosomal RNA", at positions 28 to 526 of the family's 1533-position model. The record is from RNAcentral.
GACGAACGCUGGCGGCGUGCUUAACACAUGCAAGUCGAACGAAGUGGCGAACGGGUGAGUAACGCGUAAUCAACCUGCCCUUAAGAGGGGGACAACAGGUGGAAAGGACUGCUAAUACGGCAUAACGAAGGUGGGGAUUGCGUCUGAUUAGCUAGUUGGAGGGGUAACGGCCCACCAAGGCGAUGAUCAGUAGCCGGUCUGAGAGGAUGAACGGCCAGCGUGGGACUGAGACACGGCCCAGACUCCUACGGGAGGCAGCAGUGGGGAAUCUUCCGCAAUGGACGAAAGGCUGACGGAGCAACGCCGCGUGCGUGAUGACGGCCUGCGGGGUGUAAAGCUCUGUUAAUCGGGACGCGGUACCGGAAUAGAAAGCCACGGCUAACUACGUGCCAGCAGCCGCGGUAAUAC